Molecule: ribosomal RNA, 509 nt
Filed under: uncultured bacterium
Lineage: Bacteria
Description: bacterial SSU rRNA
Rfam family: Bacterial small subunit ribosomal RNA
Source: RNAcentral
CUGGCUCAGAACGAACGCUGGCGGCGCGUCUAAGCAUGCAAGUCGAACGGCAAGAGGUAGCAAUACCUCCUAGAGUGGCGGACUGGUGAGUAACACGUGGGUGACAUACCCUUCAGAUGGGGAUAGCUAUUAGAAAUAGUAGAUAAUACCGAAUACGAGCACAGGGGUUAGAGAUCUGUGAGGAAAGGAGCUAAGGCUCCGCUGAAGGAAUGGCCUGCGGCCCAUUAGCUAGUUGGUGAGGUAAGAGCCCACCAAGGCGAUGAUGGGUAUCCGGCCUUAGAGGGUGAACGGACACAUUGGGACUGAGAUACGGCCCAGACUCCUACGGGAGGCAGCAGCUAAGAAUAUUCCGCAAUGGACGAAAGUCUGACGGAGCGACGCCGCGUGGAUGAAGAAGGCCGGAAGGUUGUAAAAUCCUUUUGAAACUGAAGAAUAAGCGUUGUAGGGAAUGACAGCGUGGUGACAGUAGGUUUUGAAUAAGCAACGGCUAAUUACGUGCCAGCAGCCGC